GACGAACGCUGGCGGCGUGCUUAACACAUGCAAGUCGAACGGAAAGGCCCUGCUUUUGUGGGGUGCUCGAGUGGCGAACGGGUGAGUAACACGUGAGUAACCUGCCCUUGACUUUGGGAUAACUUCAGGAAACUGGGGCUAAUACCGGAUAGGAGCUCCUGCUGCAUGGUGGGGGUUGGAAAGUUUCGGCGGUUGGGGAUGGACUCGCGGCUUAUCAGCUUGUUGGUGGGGUAGUGGCUUACCAAGGCUUUGACGGGUAGCCGGCCUGAGAGGGUGACCGGCCACAUUGGGACUGAGAUACGGCCCAGUCUCCUACGGGAGGCAGCAGUGGGGAAUAUUGCACAAUGGGCUGAAGCCUGAUGCAGCAACGCCGCGUGCGGGAUGACGGCCUUCGGGUUGUAAACCGCUUUCGCCUGUGACGAAGCGUGAGUGACGGUAAUGGGUAAAGAAGCACCGGCUAACUACGUG
RNAcentral lists this ribosomal RNA (468 nucleotides) under uncultured bacterium. Its description in RNAcentral is "partial 16S ribosomal RNA". It matches the Rfam family "Bacterial small subunit ribosomal RNA", at positions 28 to 507 of the family's 1533-position model. The record is from RNAcentral.